RNAcentral lists this ribosomal RNA (409 nucleotides) under bacterium. RNAcentral's name for it is "partial 16S ribosomal RNA". It matches the Rfam family "Bacterial small subunit ribosomal RNA", at positions 355 to 776 of the family's 1533-position model. The record is from RNAcentral.
UGGGGAAUAUUGCACAAUGGGCGAAAGCCUGAUGCAGCGACGCCGCGUGAGGGAUGACGGCCUUCGGGUUGUAAACCUCUUUCAGCAGGGACGAAGCGCAAGUGACGGUACCUGCAGAAGAAGCACCGGCUAACUACGUGCCAGCAGCCGCGGUAAUACGUAGGGUGCAAGCGUUGUCCGGAAUUACUGGGCGUAAAGAGUUCGUAGGCGGUUUGUCGCGUCGUUUGUGAAAACCAGCAGCUCAACUGCUGGCUUGCAGGCGAUACGGGCAGACUUGAGUACUGCAGGGGAGACUGGAAUUCCUGGUGUAGCGGAGAAAUGCGCAGAUAUCAGGAGGAACACCGGUGGCGAAGGCGGGUCUCUGGGCAGUAACUGACGCUGAGGAACGAAAGCGUGGGUAGCGAACAGG